RNAcentral lists this ribosomal RNA (300 nucleotides) under Meloidogyne hapla. Its description in RNAcentral is "eukaryotic LSU rRNA". It matches the Rfam family "Eukaryotic large subunit ribosomal RNA", at positions 668 to 949 of the family's 3401-position model. Lineage: Eukaryota; Metazoa; Nematoda; Chromadorea; Rhabditida; Meloidogynidae. The record is from RNAcentral.
AAGGAGUUUAUCGUGUGCGCAAGUUUUUGGGUGUUAAAAACCUAGAAGCGAAAUGAAAGUAAAUGAUUCUUUAGAGUCUGAUGUGCAAUCUUUUUUCAGAAAAGUGCAUCAUGGCCCCAUUCUAACUGUUUACAGUAGGGUGGCGGAAGAGCGUACGCGGUGAGACCCGAAAGAUGGUGAACUAUUCCUGAGCAGGACGAAGCCAGAGGAAACUCUGGUGGAAGUCCGAAGCGGUUCUGACGUGCAAAUCGAUCGUCUGACUUGGGUAUAGGGGCGAAAGACUAAUCGAACCAUCUAGUA